RNAcentral lists this ribosomal RNA (440 nucleotides) under uncultured bacterium. RNAcentral's name for it is "partial 16S ribosomal RNA". It matches the Rfam family "Bacterial small subunit ribosomal RNA", at positions 338 to 795 of the family's 1533-position model. The record is from RNAcentral.
CCUACGGGCGGCAGCAGUGGGGAAUAUUGCACAAUGGGGGAAACCCUGAUGUAGCGACGCCGCGUGAGUGAAGAAGUAUUUCGGUACGUAAAGCUCUAUCAGCAGGGAAGAAAAUGACGGUACCUGACUAAGAAGCCCCGGCUAACUACGUGCCAGCAGCCGCGGUAAUACGUAGGGGGCAAGCGUUAUCCGGAUUUACUGGGUGUAAAGGGAGCGUAGACGGCAGCGCAAGUCUGGAGUGAAAUCCCAUGGCUUAACCAUGGAACUGCUUUGGAAACUGUGCAGCUAGAGUGCAGGAGAGGUAAGCGGAAUUCCUAGUGUAGCGGUGAAAUGCGUAGAUAUUAGGAGGAACACCAGUGGCGAAGGCGGCUUACUGGACUGUAACUGACGUUGAGGCUCGAAAGCGUGGGGAGCAAACAGGAUUAGAUACCCGGGUAGUC